GAGUUUGAUCCUGGCUCAGGACGAACGCUGGCGGCGUGCCUAAUACAUGCAAGUCGAGCGAGCUUGCCUAGAUGAUUUUAGUGCUUGCACUAAAUGAAACUAGAUACAAGCGAGCGGCGGACGGGUGAGUAACACGUGGGUAACCUGCCCAAGAGACUGGGAUAACACCUGGAAACAGAUGCUAAUACCGGAUAACAACACUAGACGCAUGUCUAGAGUUUGAGAGAUGGUUCUGCUAUCACUCUUGGAUGGACCUGCGGUGCAUUAGCUAGUUGGUAAGGUAACGGCUUACCAAGGCAAUGAUGCAUAGCCGAGUUGAGAGACUGAUCGGCCACAUUGGGACUGAGACACGGCCCAAACUCCUACGGGAGGCAGCAGUAGGGAAUCUUCCACAAUGGACGAAAGUCUGAUGGAGCAACGCCGCGUGAGUGAAGAAGGGUUUCGGCUCGUAAAGCUCUGUUGGUAGUGAAGAAAGAUAGAGGUAGUAACUGGCCUUUAUUUGACGGUAAUUACUUAGAAAGUCACGGCUAACUACGU
RNAcentral lists this ribosomal RNA (537 nucleotides) under uncultured bacterium. RNAcentral describes it as "bacterial SSU rRNA". It matches the Rfam family "Bacterial small subunit ribosomal RNA", at positions 9 to 506 of the family's 1533-position model. The record is from RNAcentral.